Eufriesea mexicana is the source of this 903-nucleotide long non-coding RNA. RefSeq lists it as uncharacterized. Lineage: Eukaryota; Metazoa; Arthropoda; Insecta; Hymenoptera; Apidae. The transcript has 3 exons. The record is from RefSeq and is a predicted model, not a curated record.
AAACCGAGCUGACCGCGCGCCGGAUCUCACAGUCUCGGUGUUUUUCUUUUGGAAUCGGCAUACGACGUGCCGCGGGAUUACAGUGUGCGUAUCGUAAAACCGAGAGCGACUGGUGGAGAGGAGUUUAAGGGAAUUGAACACAAGCAAGGAAGACGCGAGAAGAGAGGGCGGCGCAGGAGCGAGAAACAAGAAAAGAGGAAACGAGAUACAACGAAGGGGAACGUCGAGUAGCGGGGAGAGAAAUAGGGCGCGUACCGUAUAAUGUUGGCGCGAGAAAAAGUAUAAUGAGAGGGAAUCCCGCCGCUGUAAGUACAAAGGAAUAUUACAGUAAGAUCUGUAACGUGCAAAGCCGCAAAAUAAACGAAGCACGCGUAAUGGGGUAUCGGCUCUGUCGUCUCCCCUGUGGUACGCCUUCAGCUGCCGCGCACGCGUGUUACACUCCAUGCGCAAGGGAUAGAGAGGGAGCAAGUCAGGCCUGCGCAAACAAACCAAUAAGAAUAACACGUGGCAGCAAAGGAAGUGAGCGAGAAAAGCGAAAGAACAAGCAGGAAAAAGCCGCGAGACGCGACACAAGAAGCGUCUAUCUUGGAUAUCUCGCCGACAGAGGAUGGCAAGCGGUCGAGCUAUGUAGCCUGACACAGUCACAGUAACCAAACGGACUACUUAUUCGAUCGAUGAGUUAUUCGUACUUAACCUCCAAACAUCAAAAACACAGACGAAAUCAAAACAUUUAGGAUUCGUUCUUAGUCAUAUUGUACACAUGAAAAGUACAUACAAGUACAUCACUGAAGGGAAAAAGAGGUAACGCAACAUCGAUAUGCACCUGGCCCAAUUUCACAGUCCGACCCUUGAAGCACAGUGAUCGUCGCUCGAAAAUAAAAAAGAAAGUACACGAGUGGAAAA